GCCUCGGCGGGCUCGCCCGCCAGAGGAUACAUCAAAACUCCUGUUUUAAACGNNGUUGUCUGAGCUACAAGCAACGAAUCAAAACUUUCAACAACGGAUCUCUUGGUUCUGGCAUCGAUGAAGAACGCAGCGAAAUGCGAUAAGUAGUGUGAAUUGCAGAAUUCAGUGAAUCAUCGAAUCUUUGAACGCACAUUGCGCCCCUUGGUAUCCCGAGGGGCAUGCCUGUUCGAGCGUCAUUUCACCACUCAAGCCUGGCUUGGUGUUGGGUGACGUCCAUUUUAAGGACGCGCCUCGAAACGCUCGGCGGCGUGGCACCGGCUUUAAGCGUAGCAGANUCUUUUCCGCUUCGAAAGUCGGGGCCCCGUCUGCCGGAAGACCCAUUCGCAAGGUUGACCUCGGAUCANGCAG
Molecule: ribosomal RNA, 408 nt
Filed under: uncultured fungus
Lineage: Eukaryota; Fungi
Description: eukaryotic LSU rRNA
Rfam family: 5.8S ribosomal RNA (bases 83-236)
Source: RNAcentral